GGCGGCCAUUUGAAUGGCCGAUGAACCCGCACAACCGCCGCUGAAAUCGCGGCGGUAAUUUGAAAAUUUUCUCUCUAAAAUCCCCCAUUGACCUGCAUCUGAGAUCCACCAAGCACUUCUCCUUCUCCACCCUACUCUGUCUCUAACCCUUUCCCUCCUCCGCUGCUAGGGUUUGGAGCUCGCAUCAGUGCCGCCGGAGGGAGUAACCGCAGCUUCUCUUCGUAGCA
Molecule: long non-coding RNA, 227 nt
Filed under: Phoenix dactylifera (date palm)
Lineage: Eukaryota; Viridiplantae; Streptophyta; Magnoliopsida; Arecales; Arecaceae
Description: long non-coding RNA (PDAC_LNC016900)
Source: RNAcentral